AGUGAACGCUGGCGGUAGGCCUAACACAUGCAAGUCGAACGGCAGCACAGUAAGAGCUUGCUCUUACGGGUGGCGAGUGGCGGACGGGUGAGGAAUACAUCGGAAUCUACUUUUUCGUGGGGGAUAACGUAGGGAAACUUACGCUAAUACCGCAUACGACCUACGGGUGAAAGCAGGGGAUCUUCGGACCUUGCGCGAUUGAAUGAGCCGAUGUCGGAUUAGCUAGUUGGCGGGGUAAAGGCCCACCAAGGCGACGAUCCGUAGCUGGUCUGAGAGGAUGAUUAGCCACACUGGAACUGAGACACGGUCCAGACUCCUACGGGAGGCAGCAGUGGGGAAUAUUGGACAAUGGGCGCAAGCCUGAUCCAGCCAUACCGCGUGGGUGAAGAAGGCCUUCGGGUUGUAAAGCCCUUUUGUUGGGAAAGAAAAGCAGCAGGCUAAUACCCCGCUGUUCUGACGGUACCCAAAGAAUAAGCACCGGCUAACUUCGUG
RNAcentral lists this ribosomal RNA (492 nucleotides) under uncultured bacterium. Its description in RNAcentral is "partial 16S ribosomal RNA". It matches the Rfam family "Bacterial small subunit ribosomal RNA", at positions 29 to 507 of the family's 1533-position model. The record is from RNAcentral.